UACAGAGGUCUCAAGCGUUGUUCGGAUUCAUUGGGCGUAAAGGGUGCGUAGGUGGCGCGCUAAGUCAGGUGUGAAAUUUCGGAGCUUAACUCCGAAACUGCAUUUGAUACUGGCGUGCUUGAGGACUGGAGAGGAGACUGGAAUUCAUGGUGUAGCAGUGAAAUGCGCAGAUAUCGGGAGGAACACCGGUGGCGAAGGCGGUUCUCUGGGCCUUACCUGACGCUGAGGAGCGAAAGCGUGGGGAGCGAACAGG
This 253-nucleotide ribosomal RNA is filed under the name uncultured bacterium. RNAcentral's name for it is "partial 16S ribosomal RNA". It matches the Rfam family "Bacterial small subunit ribosomal RNA", at positions 524 to 776 of the family's 1533-position model. The record is from RNAcentral.